RNAcentral lists this long non-coding RNA (1486 nucleotides) under Marmota monax (woodchuck). Lineage: Eukaryota; Metazoa; Chordata; Mammalia; Rodentia; Sciuridae. The record is from RNAcentral.
CUUAUCCUUUACUACGACGGAGUGCAUAGAUCUGAAGGGUAAAUGACUCCAGCCAUAGAAUCACCGCCCGAUGAGAAAUAAAGAACACGUCCACCAACUCAUUCCUGUGCCCUGCACUGCGGUAACAGCUGUUCUGAUUUCCAUUAUCAUACAUCAGCUUUGUCUGUUUUUGAUCUUCACAUAAAUAGACUCACACCAUAUGUACUUUCUCUCCUUCUUCUAGGUCUGGCUCCUUUGGCUCAUCUGACUUUGUGAUUCUUCCAUUUUUCUACAUUCAUCAGCAAUCUGCUCUUUCAUCCCCACCCCCAUGUUGGGAAUUGAGCCCUGGGCCCAGCAGACGUCAGGCAAGCGGUCUGCCCCAGAGCCACAUCCCCAGGCCAGCUAUUCUGUAUUUAUGAGUAGUGUGUUUUGUAUAGUAACAUACAGUAACAUAUAGUAACAUAACCAGUUUUCUAUCCAUUAUCUUCUUGAUGAAUUCAGGGCCUCUAACUCACUGAGGCACACAUACAUCCGUCUGUGUUGUUAACAUUCUUGUACAUGUUUCUUGUGAUUUGGAUGCAUUCAUUUUCCUCCUGUAGGUGUAGGUGUGGGUGUAUAUGUAUACAGAAUUCAAAUUAUAUACAAAUGUACACUUGAAUUCCACAAAACAGCAACGUUUAUUAAUUUAGUGGUCAUUUAGACUAAUCAUUUUAAUGCUCUUUAUUUCUUCCUUCCUGCAUCUCCAGCCUACCAUCUGGAAUAAUAGUCCCCUUGAAAAUUUAGUUUCCCACUUCUAGUGACUAACAUCCAUUGUUUUAGUUUGUCUAAAUAUGACUUUAUUUCACUUUUUUUUUUUUUUGUAUGUUUGAUUUUUUUUUCUUGUGGUUCUGGGAAUUGAACCCAGGGGUGCUCUACCACUGAGCUACAUCACCAGCCCUUUUUAUUUUGAGACACGGUCUGGCAAUUGCCCGGAAUUGACCUGGAAUUUGUGAUCCUUCUGCCUCAGCCUCUUAACUUGCUGAGAUUACAGAUGUGCACCACCCCACCCAGUUCUUGCCUAUCUUUUAUGGUUUUUGGUUUUUUUGUUGUUUGCUUUGUACCAGGAAUUGAACCCAGAGAUGUUUUACCACUGAGCCACAUCCCCAGCCCAUUUUAUUUGUUAUUUUUAAGACAGAGCCUUAUUGCUGAUGCUGGUCUAUGAACUUGCAAUCCUCCUGCCUCAGCCUCCCAAAUCAUUGGGAUUACAGACAAAUGCCAUUGCACCUAGACUCUUAUGUUUUUAAUCUUUUUAUCCACAUUUUUUUUUUGUACACAGGAUUGAACCUAGAGGCACUAUACCACAGAAUCACAUCCCUAGCCCAUUUUAAUUUUUUUCUUUUUUUUUUGAGACAGGGUCUCACACUAAGUUGCUUAGGGCCUUGCUAAUUUGCUGAAGCCGCCCUUAAAUUUGCAAUCCUCCUGCCUCAGCCUCCUGAGUCACUGUGAUUAUAGGCCGGCACCACCACAC